CCCAGUGGCGAAGGCGGCUGUGUGGUCUGUAACUGACGCUGAGGCUCGAAAGUAUGGGUAGCAAACAGGAUUAGAUACCCUGGUAGUCCAUACCGUAAACGAUGAAUGCUAAGUGUUGGAGGGUUUCCGCCCUUCAGUGCUGCAGCUAACGCAUUAAGCAUUCCGCCUGGGGAGUACGGCCGCAAGGCUGAAACUCAAAGGAAUUGACGGGGGCCCGCACAAGCGGUGGAGCAUGUGGUUUAAUUCGAAGCUACGCGAAGAACCUUACCAGGUCUUGACAUACUAUGCAAAUCUAAGAGAUUAGACGUUCCCUUCGGGGACAUGGAUACAGGUGGUGCAUGGUUGUCGUCAGCUCGUGUCGUGAGAUGUUGGGUUAAGUCCCGCAACGAGCGCAACCCUUAUUAUCAGUUGCCAGCAUUAAGUUGGGCACUCUGGUGAGACUGCCGGUGUCACACCGGAGGAAGGUGGGGAUGACGUCAAAUCAUCAUGCCCCUUAUGACCUGGGCUACACCCGUGCUACAAUGGAUGGUACAACGAGUUGCGAACUCGCGAGAGUAAGCUAAUCUCUUAAAGCCAUUCUCAGUUCGGAUUGUAGGCUGCAACUCGCCUACAUGAAGUCGGAAUCGCUAGUAAUCGCGGAUCAGCAUGCCGCGGUGAAUACGUUCCCGGGCCUUGUACACACCGCCCGUCACACCAUGAGAGUUUGUAACACCCAACAGUCGGUGG
This 726-nucleotide ribosomal RNA is filed under the name Lactiplantibacillus plantarum. RNAcentral's name for it is "bacterial SSU rRNA". It matches the Rfam family "Bacterial small subunit ribosomal RNA", at positions 708 to 1433 of the family's 1533-position model. Lineage: Bacteria; Bacillati; Bacillota; Bacilli; Lactobacillales; Lactobacillaceae. The record is from RNAcentral.